GGAUAACUCAUUUCCUCGCAUGGGGAAAUGUUGAAAGGUGGCUUUUAGCUAUCACUUACAGAUGGACCCGCGGCGCAUUAGCUAGUUGGUGAGGUAACGGCUCACCAAGGCGACGAUGCGUAGCCGACCUGAGAGGGUGAUCGGCCACACUGGGACUGAGACACGGCCCAGACUCCUACGGGAGGCAGCAGUAGGGAAUCUUCCGCAAUGGACGAAAGUCUGACGGAGCAACGCCGCGUGAGUGAUGAAGGUUUUCGGAUCGUAAAACUCUGUUGUUAGGGAAGAACAAGUACCGUUCGAAUAGGGCGGUACCUUGACGGUACCUAACNCAGAAAGCCACGGCUAACUACGUGCCAGCAGCCCCGUAAUACGUAAGUGGCAAAGCGUUGUCCGAGAAUUAUUGGGCCGUAAAAGCGCGCCGCAGGUGGUUCCCUUAANUCUGAUGGUGAAAANGCCCACGGGCUCAACCGUGGGAGGGGUCAUUGGAAAAUGGGGGGGACUUUGGNGUGNCGNAAAAAAGGGAAAGGUGGGAAUUUCCCAAGGNGGUAGGCNGGNGGAAAAUUGGNGGGNGAAAUNUUC
Molecule: ribosomal RNA, 579 nt
Filed under: Bacillus sp. HPB-12
Lineage: Bacteria; Bacillati; Bacillota; Bacilli; Caryophanales; Bacillaceae
Description: partial 16S ribosomal RNA
Rfam family: Bacterial small subunit ribosomal RNA
Source: RNAcentral